AAAGUCGUAACAAGGUAUCCGUAGGUGAACCUGCGGAUGGAUCAUUAGUGAAUGUGCGGCGCGGGCGUCACACCCCGCGCGUGCCAAUCCACCCCUGUGCAACGUACCGUACCCUGGUGGGGGGCGUGCCUCCCACCGAAGGGCGCUUCGCGGCGCCCGACCAACGCUCUAAUCUCUGUCUGAAUCUAACGAACCAAAUGAUCUAAACAACUUUUGACAACGGAUCUCUUGGCUCUC
Molecule: unclassified non-coding RNA, 237 nt
Filed under: Chytridiomycota sp.
Lineage: Eukaryota; Fungi; Chytridiomycota
Description: partial contains small subunit ribosomal RNA, internal transcribed spacer 1, and 5.8S ribosomal RNA
Rfam family: Eukaryotic small subunit ribosomal RNA (bases 1-47)
Source: RNAcentral